This 403-nucleotide ribosomal RNA is filed under the name uncultured bacterium. RNAcentral describes it as "partial 16S ribosomal RNA". It matches the Rfam family "Bacterial small subunit ribosomal RNA", at positions 30 to 526 of the family's 1533-position model. The record is from RNAcentral.
AUUGAACGCUGGCGGCAGGCCUAACACAUGCAAGUCGAGCGAGCGGAGGACGGGUGAGUAAUGUAUGGGGACUGCCCGAUAGCGGGGGAUAACUACUGGAAACGGUGGCUAAUACCGCAUACGGUCGGAAAACCCAUAUGGGAUUAGCUAGUAGGGAAGGUAAUGGUUUACCUAGGCGACGAUCCCUAGCUGGUCUGAGAGGAUGAUCAGCCACACUGGGACUGAGACACGGCCCAGACUCCUACGGAGGCAGCAGUGGGGAAUAUUGAACAAUGGGCGCAAGCCUGAUGCAGCCAUGCCGCGUGUAUGAAGAAGGCCCUAGGGUUGUAAAGUACUUUCAGUCGGGAGGCGUUACCGACAGAAGAAGCACCGGCUAACUCCGUGCCAGCAGCCGCGGUAAUAC